AGCGAUCGUUGGCGGCAGGCCUAACACAUGCAAGUCGAACGACCUCUAUAUGAGGGAGUGGCGGACGGGUGAGUAAUACUUGGGAACAUGCCUUUUGCUGGGGGAUAACUGUUGGAAACAGCAGCUAAUACCGCAUAUGCCUUCGGGUAAAAGCUCCGGCGGCAAAAGAUUGGCCCAAGCUUCAUUAGCUAGUUGGUAAGGUAAAAGCUUACCAAGGCAACGAUGAAUAGCUGGUCUGAGAGGAUGAUCAGCCACACUGGAACUGAGACACGGUCCAGACUCCUACGGGAGGCAGCAGUGAGGAAUAUUGCGCAAUGGGGGAAACCCUGACGCAGCCAUGCCGCGUGCACGACGAAGGCCUUCGGGUUGUAAAGUGCUUUCAAUGGGGAAGAUGAUGACGGUACCCAUACAAGAAGUCCCGGCUAAUUCCG
Molecule: ribosomal RNA, 431 nt
Filed under: uncultured Pseudomonadota bacterium
Lineage: Bacteria; Pseudomonadati; Pseudomonadota
Description: bacterial SSU rRNA
Rfam family: Bacterial small subunit ribosomal RNA
Source: RNAcentral